AGAAGAAGAGCGGGAACGGCGGCCGCUGGCUCGCGCUGACCUGAAGCCUCCGUGAUGUCGGUGACCUCCAAAGUGGUUCUGGGAGUUUCUGUGGUUCUGACUCUGAGCACCGUGGCGGCUGUGCACCUGAAACAGGCCUGGGACCGAGAGCGCCUCCACCAGGGUGUAGUUCGGGAUCUGGAGCGGCUGGAGAGAAAGAAGGAGAACCUGCGGUUGCUGGAGGAGCAGAGGGUCCUGACCCGACACCUGGAGGAGGAGAGGCGGCGCAGCGCGGAGAGGCUCCGCCCCCAGGACACGUGAGGCAGGACCGCCUUCAGGUGGCGCUGCGCCUGAGAGCAGACAUGGACAGCAGCGGCGAGCCCCUGGGGGCGGGCGAGGACGAGGCGGCGUGCACGUCGGCCUCAGAGGGGCUGGAGGAGGGGGAGGUGGAGGGGGAGACCCUGCUGAUCGUGGAGUCGGAGGAUCAGGGCUCCGUGGACCUGUCCCACGACCAGAGCGGGGACUCGCUGACCAGCGACCUGGGGGAGGAGGGGGAGGGCGGCUGGGCCUGCGAGGACAUGUCCUUCUACUGCGAGCGCUGUCACAAGUGGACCCCGGCAGCUCAGCUCCGAGGAGAACAGCCCAGUUACCUGAAAGGAGACAACUUCUUCAAGUUCACCUGCUGCAGCUGCUCCGAGGACGGCAAGGAGAGCUUUGAGCGGAUGCGGCUCACCUGGCAGCAGGUGGUGAUGUUGGCCAUGUACAACCUGUCCCUGGAGGGCACGGGCCGGCAGGGCUACUUCCGCUGGAAGGAGGACAUCUGCGCCUUCAUCGGCCGGCACUGGAACUUCCUGCUGGGAACC
Molecule: RNA transcript, 842 nt
Organism: Oryzias melastigma (Indian medaka)
Lineage: Eukaryota; Metazoa; Chordata; Actinopteri; Beloniformes; Adrianichthyidae
Gene: pet117
Gene name: protein PET117 homolog, mitochondrial
Exons: 5
Source: RefSeq, a predicted model, not a curated record